RNAcentral lists this ribosomal RNA (253 nucleotides) under uncultured bacterium. RNAcentral's name for it is "partial 16S ribosomal RNA". It matches the Rfam family "Bacterial small subunit ribosomal RNA", at positions 524 to 776 of the family's 1533-position model. The record is from RNAcentral.
UACGGAGGGUGCAAGCGUUAUCCGGAUUCACUGGGUUUAAAGGGUGCGUAGGAGGACUGGUAAGUCAGUGGUGAAAUCCCCGAGCUUAACUUGGGAACUGCCGUUGAUACUAUCAGUCUUGAAUACCGUGGAGGUGAGCGGAAUAUGUCAUGUAGCGGUGAAAUGCUUAGAUAUGACAUAGAACACCAAUAGCGAAGGCAGCUCGCUACACGAAUAUUGACUCUGAGGCACGAAAGCGUGGGGAUCAAACAGG